RNAcentral lists this unclassified non-coding RNA (269 nucleotides) under Hevea brasiliensis (rubber tree). The record is from RNAcentral. Lineage: Eukaryota; Viridiplantae; Streptophyta; Magnoliopsida; Malpighiales; Euphorbiaceae.
GAUGGGUUGGAGUUGAGAUGAUUUGUGGGGUUUUGCUAUGGGCUUUGACAGCUUUUGGCAUCUGAUGAUAUGAUGAAUAGAAGUGAGAUUAUCUAUGCUUUUGUUUUACAGAAUUUGUAGCUUUUAAUCUGUUAGUACUAUUUUUAUCCUCUAAUCUGUUCCUUUCCUUCUGGGUUGUUCUGUGUGAUAUUGUCUUUGGUCAUAAUACUUCCAACUGCAUUUGGGAAUUAGAGGGUGGUCCCAUAUAAAUUAAUUAUGUGGAUUUUUUA